UCAUCAUGAUUAUCAUUCAUCAUCAUCAGCAUCAUCAUCAUCAUCAUCAUCAUUCAUCAUUAUCAAAUCUCAGGAUCUUCAAGGUGGUUCUUCUCGUUCGUAGCUACCUUCUAGACUGUGAUUUCCAAUUUUCGAACUCUCGAGGAUUGCAAGAGCUGAUGAGUCCACGAGUUCUUCCUCAUCAGUAGCUUCCGGUGAUAGAACCCUAAUCCAUGAUGAUGAAUUCACUCAAGCCAAGGCAAGCAUAGAAAUUUUCGAUUGGUACUCGAAAUGCUAAGGAACAUGUAUCUGCCAAGAAAUUCCUGGUAAUGUUCUAUUUCUUCAUUUGGUUGCUAGAUAUCAAUUAGUCACAAUUUCGAAAUGUUAACUAUUG
Long non-coding RNA from Arabidopsis lyrata subsp. lyrata, 373 nucleotides. RefSeq lists it as uncharacterized. Lineage: Eukaryota; Viridiplantae; Streptophyta; Magnoliopsida; Brassicales; Brassicaceae. The transcript is spliced from 3 exons. The record is from RefSeq and is a predicted model, not a curated record.